ACGGGGUGCAGCAGGCGCGAAACCUUUGCAAUGUGCGAAAGCACGACAAGGUUAAUCCGAGUGUCUCCCGCUAAGGGAGUCUUUUGUCAGUUCUAGAACCACUGGUGAAUAAGGGGUGGGCAAGUUCUGGUGUCAGCCGCCGCGGUAAAACCAGCACCUCGAGUGGUCAGGAGAUUUAUUGGGCCUAAAGCAUCCGUAGCCGGUUGCAUAAGUUUUCGGUUAAAUCUAUGCGCUUAACGUAUAGGCCGCCGAAAAUACUGUGCAGCUAGGGAGUGGGAGAGGUACACGGUACUCAAUAGGAAGGGGUAAAAUCCUUUGAUCUAUUGAUGACCACCUGUGGCGAAGGCGGUGUACCAGAACACGUUCGACGGUGAGGGAUGAAAGCUGGGGGAGCAAACCGGAUUAGAUACCCGGGUAGUCCCAGCUGUAAACGAUGCAGACUCGGUGAUGCAUUGGCUUGUGGCCAAUGCAGUGCCGCAGGGAAGCCGUUAAGUCUGCCGCCUGGGAAGUACGUACGCAAGUAUGAAACUUAAAGGAAUUGGCGGGGGAGCAC
RNAcentral lists this ribosomal RNA (553 nucleotides) under uncultured Nitrososphaerota archaeon. RNAcentral describes it as "bacterial SSU rRNA". It matches the Rfam family "Archaeal small subunit ribosomal RNA", at positions 325 to 879 of the family's 1478-position model. The record is from RNAcentral. Lineage: Archaea; Thermoproteati; Nitrososphaerota.